UACGAAGGGGGCUAGCGUUGCUCGGAAUCACUGGGCGUAAAGCGCACGUAGGCGGCUUUCUAAGUCAGGGGUGAAAUCCUGGAGCUCAACUCCAGAACUGCCUUUGAUACUGGGAAGCUCGAGUCCGGAAGAGGUGAGUGGAACUCCGAGUGUAGAGGUGAAAUUCGUAGAUAUUCGGAAGAACACCAGUGGCGAAGGCGGCUCACUGGUCCGGUACUGACGCUGAGGUGCGAAGGCUAGGGGAGCGAACGGG
RNAcentral lists this ribosomal RNA (253 nucleotides) under uncultured bacterium. RNAcentral's name for it is "partial 16S ribosomal RNA". It matches the Rfam family "Bacterial small subunit ribosomal RNA", at positions 524 to 776 of the family's 1533-position model. The record is from RNAcentral.